UGAACGCUGACAGAAUGCUUAACACAUGCAAGUCAACUUGAAUUUGGGUUUUUAACUUCGGUUUGGGUGGCGGACGGGUGAGUAACGCGUAAAGAACUUGCCUCACAGCUAGGGACAACAUUUGGAAACGAAUGCUAAUACCUAAUAUUAUGAUAAUAGGGCAUCCUAUAAUUAUGAAAGCUAUAAGCGCUGUGAGAGAGCUUUGCGUCCCAUUAGCUAGUUGGAGAGGUAACGGCUCACCAAGGCGAUGAUGGGUAGCCGGCCUGAGAGGGUGAUCGGCCACAAGGGGACUGAGACACGGCCCUUACUCCUACGGGAGGCAGCAGUGGGGAAUAUUGGACAAUGGACCGAGAGUCUGAUCCAGCAAUUCUGUGUGCACGAUGAAGUUUUUCGGAAUGUAAAGUGCUUUCAGUUGGGAAGAAACAAAUGACGGUACCAACAGAAGAAGUGACGGCUAAAUACGUG
RNAcentral lists this ribosomal RNA (465 nucleotides) under uncultured bacterium. Its description in RNAcentral is "partial 16S ribosomal RNA". It matches the Rfam family "Bacterial small subunit ribosomal RNA", at positions 30 to 507 of the family's 1533-position model. The record is from RNAcentral.